Molecule: RNA transcript, 3918 nt
Organism: Passer domesticus (house sparrow)
Lineage: Eukaryota; Metazoa; Chordata; Aves; Passeriformes; Passeridae
Gene: PLPP4
Gene name: phospholipid phosphatase 4
Exons: 8
Source: RefSeq, a predicted model, not a curated record
CCGGCCCCGGCUGCGGCUCCGCUCGGCAGCGCCGCGGGGGCGGGCGGGAAGGCGGGCAGGGGAAAUCCCCAGGAUGGCCGGCCCCCUCCGCCGAGCGGGGACACCGCGUUAGUCACCGGGACCCUCCCCCCGAGCGGGGACACCGCGUUAGUCACCGGGACCCUCCCCCGGCGCUCGGCUCCGCCGCGCCAGCGCCGCGCCCCUCACAGCGCGGCAGCCGCGGCGGCCGCGGGAUGGCGGGGCCGGGGCCGCGCCCGGCCGGGCUCUGCGCGGGGCCCCGGCGCUCCGGGACCGGCGGCCUGAGGCGGCCCCGCUGUCCCCGGGCGUGAGAGGCGGCGGCGCGGGGCUGCGGGAGCGCCGGACCCACCAUGCGGGAGCUGGCGAUCGAGAUCGGCAUACGCGUGCUGCUCUUCGGGGUCUUCGUUUUUACGGAAUUUUUGGAUCCAUUCCAGCGAGUGAUCCAGCCAGAGGAGAUCUGGCUGUACAAAAAUCCCUUGGUGCAAUCAGACAACAUCCCCACACGGCUCAUGUUUGCAAUUUCGUUCCUCACGCCACUAGCAGUCAUUUUCGUGGUGAAAAUAAUCCGUCGAACGGACAAGACCGAAAUUAAAGAGGCUUUCUUAGCUGUUUCCUUGGCUCUAGCUCUGAAUGGUGUCUGCACAAAUACUAUUAAAUUAAUAGUGGGAAGACCGCGUCCCGAUUUCUUUUACCGCUGCUUUCCAGAUGGAGUAAUGAACUCUGAAAUGCACUGCACAGGUGAUCCAGACCUGGUCUCUGAAGGCAGAAAAAGCUUUCCAAGCAUCCACUCUUCCUUUGCAUUUUCAGGCCUUGGCUUCACCACCUUCUACCUGGCUGGAAAGCUGCAUUGCUUCACGGAGAGCGGCCGAGGGAAGAGCUGGAGGCUCUGUGCAGCAAUCCUGCCCCUCUACUGUGCCAUGAUGAUCGCCCUGUCACGGAUGUGUGACUACAAACACCACUGGCAAGAUGCUUUCGUUGGAGGGGUCAUUGGCCUCAUUUUUGCUUAUAUUUGCUACAGACAGCACUACCCUCCUUUGGGCAAUACAGCCUGUCACAAAUCUUAUGUCAGCCUGCUGGAUCAGAACUCAGUGAAGAAAGAAGAGAGACCCACAGCAGACAAUGCCACUGGGCUGCCUCUGGAGGGAAUAACUGAAGGUCCCGUAUGACUUUGAGAAAUGUGCAGAAUGAACUUUUAGCCUUCUCACAUUUCCUCCAAACUGGUCUCUUAACAGUGGUUCUUAAUGUACAUUUUUUCUUUUGUUUCUUUCCUUUUUAUAAAGGGAAUUUAAAUAUUUUAUUUUUAAUGCCAUGGUACCAUCAUACUUUUAAAGUUAAAUUUUCAGUUCAUACUCACUUGCUGAAUUAUCUGUUUUCAGUCUACUGCAAGCAGGUAGAACUACACAAAGAAAGGGGAAAGUACAUUAUUAAAAAGAAUCUCGUGGAGAAUGGUUAAGAGAGUACUUUUGAGAUGUGGCUGAGCAUAUACUAGAUCUGGAAACAGAUUUUCUGAAGUACUGAGUAUCUUCUACAAAGUUCUGGUCAUCUUCAGCACUCAUUGAUUUUGAUGGGUGCCGAGUACACAGAGCACUUUUCAUCAGGUGUUCAACAUCUGUAAUUUGAUAAUUUAGGGCAUCAUCCUUAUGUUUUCCUGCUGCCUUCUGACAUUAACAAAAAUCUCCACAUGCUGGUGGAACUUUGUAUUAAUUGUCAAGUUUUACCAAGGUUGUUCUGAGCUACUAAUGACUAAGAAGGAGAAAGGUGUGGCUGGUGAAGUGCUUGUGAGAUCCAAGCCUCAUGCAUUAGUAGUUGCACAGGAUGAUUCUCACUUUCAAGAAAGUCCAUGCUGUUAAAAUUGCCAACUAACAACAUACAGGAUGGAUUAGAAACUUGAUAUUGCACCAUCAGCAAUUUUUGAGAACUCUUGCAGUGUUUAACAUCAAAACAGUUUCGAAAGAAAAGAGCAUCCAUUGCAUUUAACAAGCUGAAGUCUUUCAAACAGAUGUUUUAAACCCCCUUAAGCUGGGAGGAUAAAGAGACACAAAGUUUUCUGUGGAUUUCGUUGUGCCAUGUUCAUUCUUGUGUAGUGACUCACUGCAGCAUUGGUGACCUGAGGAAAUGCAAAGAUUCUCAUUUGUGACUUUGGGCACACAACCACGAAUGCUUGUGGUGGUUUCCAGCACUGUAACAUAUCCAGAGGAAGGCUGGAGACAAUUUUCCACCAACCCCAUCCCACAUUUUCAGCUCACCAUGCUCUUGGGCAUGGUGCUUGCCAAGGUUGGUACCUGAAUUGGAACUCACCUGAAUCAAACCACUGUUGGUGUGGAGAAGGUUCAAGUGUGUGACUGAAGUUAAUUUAUUAUCAGUAGGAUUCUGUUUGUUACGUAUGCACUAUGCAGUAUACAUCACAUUCCUGUGAGAUGAUGUACCUUUGGAUGGCAGAAUGUCAGAUUCCAGGUUUUUUCUCCUUAGGUAUCCUGUGAGAAAUGCAGGCAAAAUAUUCCAGACCACACCCUGGCAGUUGAACAUUUCUUGGAGCAAUCAAGAUAAUGUUGAUCAACGACCACAAUUACGGUGCUUCAGACUGGAGGAGACUGCUGCCAUGAUUAUAAUUUCUGUGUUCCUGUUGGAAUAUGCAUCAGCCUCGUAGACAUUUUGUGAUUCAAACAGCUCAAUGUCUUUAUGUAAGGCUUGUCAUUUACUUUCCUCAAAGCUAAGCUUUGUAGAUUUUUGUUUUGAGAAGAGCUGCUUCCUGAUUGGCAACACUUGAAUUUUUAUAAAAAGCAAGCAAAUUAGGGUCCCCUUAAAAAUAAACCUAAUAAUUGUGUACAAGAGGAUGCAACCUUGCUGUGUAUAAAUUUGUAUGAUAUUUGGAAAUGGCUAUAAAUAGGAAGUGACAUUAAGGAACAGAAGGUAACAGGAGUGAACCCGGGAGGCUCUGUAGAAAUCAGGCCUUGCAAAGCUGGUACAGUUUAACUGAGUCAGAGGGAGGAUCUUUCACUUACAGAAUUCUGAGCUCUACAACAGAGACAGUUGAACUUAGCUGUGGUUUUCCUGGUGAAUAUACAGUAAUUCACAAUACCAGCAUCAGCAAAGCAAAAUUACUUGGCAGUUGCACUGGAUUUGACAGAGCACUCCUCUGGUGUGGUUGAGAUCUUAUUCUAGAAAUCCACAGAGUUCAGUGGGGGUUUAAUCUUCCUACAAAGUUUUUAAACCAUCCUACAGAAUUCUGUAACAAAUAUAGUUUUCUAUUACUUCAUGUGGGAGGAUUACUGAGAGCCCCAGAGCCAGGGUGAGGUUAACCAUUAGCUCCUUCUUUCAGCAGGAACCCUAGUCUUCCAGGUUAUAUGCAAAUGUUAAAAAAAGAAUAAAUCGUCAAUCAAAAUUAGAAAUUUAAUACUGAUGCAUAGAGCAUUUUGCAUGUUUUUGUAUAGAUCUGGCUUAUUCUCAAAAUGGAGUGGGGCCUUCUAACUGUGCUGUACACAUUCUCGGUAUUUUAAUGGCUUUUGGUACAGGCAGGCUGUUUUGAGGAUGAGGAAAAGCUCAUCCAGCCCUCAAGGGCUGUUAAAGGAUUGGAACAUGAAGUGUAAUACAGCACAAAAACUGAAAUUGCAGGAGUAAUUGGUGACCAGUAAAGAAUAACACAUUUUAAUGGGAAUAAUUAAAUUGAGAGUAAUAAAGUAGACAGUGUAAAAGGUUUGAUUAAAAUGUAAUUAAAAUUAUGAAAGACUUAAUGGAAUGAAACUUGUGGAGGGAUCUGUAGGUGCCACAAUCACCAGUGCAAAGUCAGCGUAGGGAAGGCAUUUUUGUGGAUCAAUGUAUUUUAAUCUCAUGCUUUCUCAAUGUGAAGGAAAUGUAAUGUUGUAAUGCACCAAUAAAACAACACAUGAAUGUGGGUUUGUA